Long non-coding RNA from Lotus japonicus, 1687 nucleotides. RefSeq lists it as uncharacterized. Lineage: Eukaryota; Viridiplantae; Streptophyta; Magnoliopsida; Fabales; Fabaceae. The record is from RefSeq and is a predicted model, not a curated record. The transcript has 6 exons.
CCCUCACUUUCAAUUUUUUUUCCCUCGUUCAUUCCUAAAUCCUGAAUUUUGUUUCCCUCAUUCCUAAUUUCUUGCCCUACAUUCUUUGCCUCACGUUUCAUUCUCUCUCUCUCUCACGUUUGAAUGCCGUCAGUGGUAGUGCCUGAUCGACGAUGCCCUCUGGAUUUUAGCUUCGCGAGAAUGGAAAACGCCGACGUUUUCCUCGGCUUACACGACUUCCGAUUUCGUCAAAGCAAUCAAAAGGUUCUUCUUCAUCACUCUGUGUAAAUCGUAAUCGUGAUUUAGGUUAGUUCAAUUUGGAACCCUCAAAUCUAGGGGCGAUUAUGCAGUUUCAUUGUUUCGUUUGAGCCACCGCCUUGUGCCUCUGAUAAUAUGCUAUACCCCAAUUUCCAGUAUGUUAUUUGGAGAAAGGCUCCUCUCUAUUUUUAUUGAUGGUUAUGUGUUUUGUUUAUGUAAGGAUGUGAGUUAUUUGAAUGUGGUAAAGGCCGACGUGUACUUACCUUAUGGAAUUUAUUUGUCUUUCCGCUUCUGCCCUGAGGAUAACAGAUAUACUAAUGGAUGCUGAGUGUUGUGGAUCCUACCUAUGUUGAACAAGCUACUUAGUUCAUUGCAGGACACAAAGUCAUUUUUUCAUCUGAGUACAAAGAUUGUUAUGCACACGUUGUUUCAUCCUUGAAAAGUUUAUUCCCGAUCCUUUGCUGGUUCAGAAUUAUGACGCCUUGAAGUCUAAAGAUGAUUUGAUAGCUGGUUUAACUCUUGCCAGCCCGAGCAUACUUCAGGUGACAGAUUGGUUGCAAUGUGACCAUUACGAAUGGAAGACCAUCCAUUGUCACUGUUGCCUUAGUUUGGUUAUGACCUUCUAGAUUGAGAAGCAAAAGAGGGAGAUUUAAGCACACAUAAAGAUGUUUGUGAACUAAGGAGAGACCUGAAUCCUAUGUUUGCAAGAGAUGCUUAAAGGCCUUGCUGUUUAUGUUCUCUCGUGGAAGAACAACAAGGUAUCUGCUGGUGCACUUGGAGGUACUAAACUAUACUAAGAAAUGCAAGCAUCAUGUAUAAGUUUUUGCAAGGAUAUGUUAAUAAAGCUCACAAAACUUGUGUAGUAGCUUGGGAAGGAACUCAGAUGAUGACAAAGGACAGGUAGAGGGAAGGACUUUGAAGGAAGUAUUGAAACCAAUUGAUGACGGGUCUAAUUAAUCUGAAACUCCCAACAAAGAAGUUCUAGCAACUCCCAACAAAGCACCAGCGGCAACCCCACUAGCUAUGAAGAAUUCAGAAUUGCAAACCCAGAUAAAUCUUGCUCUAAAAGAUCUAUAAAAAGCAAAAGAACAAUUGAGAAGCUAAAAGAAGCACAAAGAGUAACUAAGGAAGCAAAUGAGAAACUUAUGGAGGCAUUGGUGGCUCAAAAACGGGUUGAGGAGGAUUCUUAAAUUGAGAAGCUCCGCAGUUUUGAAUCCGGACAUGCUGGAAUUGAAGCUAUUCAAAAGAUGGAAGGGGAUGGUAGAAAGAGUAAGAAAGAGCUUUGAAGGUGUAAGGAACCAGCAUGCUUAGUAUGUGGCUUGAAAAUAAGUAAACUCUAAGUAAUUUUGGUAUUUUUUUUAUAGGUGUGAUCUUUAUGAAUUACAUGAAGCUUGUUGUUAAUUGAAAUUCAUUUAUCUCUUUGAUCAAUGAAGAGUUGAUUCUUGAUUAA